RNA transcript from Musa acuminata AAA Group (dessert banana), 1794 nucleotides. It is a transcript of the gene named ASC1-like protein 1, with no coding region annotated. Lineage: Eukaryota; Viridiplantae; Streptophyta; Magnoliopsida; Zingiberales; Musaceae. The transcript is spliced from 7 exons. The record is from RefSeq and is a predicted model, not a curated record.
CACUCGCCUUCUUGUUUGUGGUUUGGUAAACCUCUUCUGCCGUUUCCGUUUGGUCUGGCGAAGGGCCUCCGCAUCGAUCGAUCGAUCGGGCUCGCAGUCUCCUCCUCUCCUAAAUCUUUCUCGUAUCGCACCUAGUCGUCCUCGUCGGCGAUUUCUUGUCGAUCUCGAAUUCCAUGGAUUUGGUUGAAGCAUGGCGAUUGGUCGACUGGGGGCAAGAGGGGUACCCGACGUACGAGGACUUCGUGGCGCUGCCCUUCUUCGCGCUGUUCUUCCCCACGGUCAGAUUCUUCCUCGAUAGGUUCGUGUUUGAGAAAUUAGCAAAGCGACUUAUACCACAAAAAUCAAGUGAAAAGCUCAGCACCGGAAUAGAUAGCAGGAGAAAAAAGAUCAAUAAAUUUAAGGAGUCAGCUUGGAAGUUUGUUUAUUUUCUUUCAGGCGAACUUCUGGCUCUAUCUGUUACAUAUAACGAGCCCUGGCUCACCAAUACUAGAUACUUCUGGGUAGGGCCAGGGAAUCAGGUCUGGCCAGAUCAGAAGAUUAAAUUAAAACUUAAAUUUGUCUAUAUGUAUGUUGCUGGCUUCUACACAUAUUCAAUUUUUGCACUUUUGUUCUGGGAAACAAGAAGAUCAGAUUUUGGAGUAUCAAUGUCUCAUCACAUGGCAACUGUUGUUCUCAUUGUGCUGUCUUACAUAUUCAGGUUUGCUCGUGUUGGUUCAGUUGUUUUAGCCAUUCAUGAUGCAAGUGACGUAUUCUUGGAAAUGGGGAAAAUGUCUAAGUAUGGCGGUUGUGAGCUGCUUGCUAAUGCAACAUUUCUUUUAUUUGUUGCUUCAUGGAUAAUUCUUCGUCUUAUAUAUUAUCCCUUGUGGAUCCUUCGAAGUACAAGUUACGAGGUUCUCUUGACUUUGGACAAAGAAAAACAUAAGUUUGAAGGACCCAUAUAUUAUUAUGUCUUCAACACACUUCUAUUCUCACUGCUUGUUCUUCAUAUCUACUGGUGGAUAUUAAUGUUCCGGAUGCUUGUGAAACAAAUCCAAUCAGGACAAGUUGGUGAUGACGUUAGAUCAGAUUCUGAAGAUGAAGAGCAACAUGAAGAUUGAUUCGGGGUGUUCAAUAAUACAUGUUGUUGCGUAGCCCAAAAAGUAAAUAUUUCAUGUUCAUGAUGUCUAUGUGCUGAUUUGCUUAUGUUGCUUUUCUUACUAGAUGAAACAGCGCAGAUAGUAAACAAGAAAACAUUGACUUGUUUUAUAUUUCCAGGUUAACUUCAGACUAAGCUUCAGUUUUCAGAACCAGUAAUCUUCUUGUGUAUUUAUCUUAUUUGUAACUUCUCAUUGGAGACUACUCAAUAAUGGAACAACUCUCCUAUAUUUAUUCAAGAAACAAAUAGGAAGCAGGAUCAGACACUGCUGAUAUGCUAGAUGUUAGAUUCACUGAAAAAGAAGGAUAUAUAUGUUGAUCAGCUUCAUCAGCUUGACAAAAAUCUCCCUACAGAGAGGUUAGAUUUCAUGCAUUUGUAGAGGCUUCAUUGCCUGCAAAAUUUAUGGUCUGGUUGCUGAAGAAGAUUGCUGUGGAUUUCAAAGAAAAGGAAAGAGAGAGAGAAAAUAGAUGCAAGAUUCUUUUCUUCCUGGAAGAAAUAUUAGUAAUGCUGCCAAUGUUCAAGUGGCUUAUGGAGGAUUAAGUGUCAAUGAAUUAUAAGGCUAUUUUAGCAGUAUUUUACUGUGAGGUGUUUAAUCCUUUGACAUAUUAUGAUUGAACAUGAUUAAUUAUUAAUCAGAUAACUGCAUUUAGAUUAUCUGA